Molecule: non-coding RNA, 60 nt
Filed under: Drosophila melanogaster (fruit fly)
Lineage: Eukaryota; Metazoa; Arthropoda; Insecta; Diptera; Drosophilidae
Source: RNAcentral
CGACGGGACCACCUUAUGUUGUUUCAUCAUGGUCUAAACUGAUAGCUGAACUAACUGAAU